ACCCUGGGAUUUGGGACUGAUAAGAAAGGCACCAGAGCAACAGGGGAGGUUCUAUUUGGGUGGACAGCUAGUAUACUGAUCAACGUGGAUGGGAUGAAGUGUGAACUCCUUUUCAGAGAUAUCAGAAGAUGGGCAUAGUGACAUCUGUAAUUCUAACACUUGGGACAUAGUGACAGGAUAUCAGGAUCUACAAGCCAGCCUCUGAAACACAAGGUUUCUCUGCAUAGGAGAAGUUUGCCCUUAAACCUGAAUCAGAAAUUCAAUUUGGAGACAGCUAAGAACAUUGUAAUUUUGACAAUAUCAUGGCUUGAGGAACUGUGGUGUAAUCUGUUGUCUCUCACCUGACAAUCACGCUGAUCUUCGCGCGGAAGUGGAAGCUCAACGCUUUUGUGAAAACUCGAGUGGAAAAGUGUUUCUGUGUCACAAAUUCAAUGAGAUGUCAAGUCUGCACUCGACAAGUGAAAGUGAAAACGAGAGACUCAUGAGAAUGUAAAGAUUCAGGAGGCCAAGCGCUGAGCCUAGAAUGGAUUGCGCAGCAUACUGGUGCACAGCAGAGCAGGAUACGCAAAGCACUUUUUUCUUUUUUUUCUUGUUGGAGAAUCACUUACACGUAAUGUUCUUCAUCAAAACCACUUGCUCUGCUUCCUGUUCCAUUCCUUUUCUCUCCACCUCCUUCACGUUUCCCUUUCAACUUCUGGGAGAAAACUUUUUAAGCCUACCGGAUCCACUUAGUACUUCUAAAUAGGCUUAGGUCCAUCUGCUGGAGCAUGGGUGACCACGUGCUCUCGGGAAAACUGACUCUUGGAUCCCCAAUGCCACCGAUCAUGCAAGAACUACAACAGAAGACACUGCCCGAAUCCUACUAUGGAUGGUGGAAAGGCUUUUGAAGUUUCAUAUCUAAGUCAUUUUCAAUAUAACAGUGCAUAGCACAAUGACCUAAAUGUCCAACUGUGUGUAAAGGGUGAAUGAACAUAUGUAUUAUAUGUGUACAUGAAGAUGUAUGUAUGUAUGUAUGUAUGUAUGUAUGUAUGUUACUUCUAUGUAACCCUACUUGACUUAAUCUUAAUUCGUACGUGAAACUAUCUUCAAACGUUGAAGAUAUUAUGGCUCCUCCUAUUGCAAGGUAUGAGUGUUGGAUAACACAGGUCUAAAGAUGCAUGCCACCACACCUGACUUUUAAAUAUUACUAUUAGGUGAACAUGCAAAAAAAUAAUCUUCAGAGGUUAUAUAAAAUGUUUAAAGGCUGUUUAACUGCAGACAAGAACUUGGAAGAGUCUUAUAGAAAAGAACCCUACACAAGUGGAACAAUGUGUUACAUUAGACGAAUAGAAAUUCAUUUUAAAGAUGAUUAUCAAAACGAAAAGAAUCACAUGAUUAUGUAAAGCUGGAUAUUGAUAUCCUCAUUAAAAUCUGCUGUUCGCA
Molecule: long non-coding RNA, 1422 nt
Organism: Mus musculus (house mouse)
Lineage: Eukaryota; Metazoa; Chordata; Mammalia; Rodentia; Muridae
Product: predicted gene, 34609
Exons: 5
Source: RefSeq, a predicted model, not a curated record